This 715-nucleotide ribosomal RNA is filed under the name uncultured archaeon. Its description in RNAcentral is "bacterial SSU rRNA". It matches the Rfam family "Archaeal small subunit ribosomal RNA", at positions 156 to 872 of the family's 1478-position model. The record is from RNAcentral.
ACGCAUAUAUGCUGGAAUGCUUUAUGCGUAAAAUGGAUUCGUCUGCCCAAGGAUGGGUCUGCGGCCUAUCAGGUAGUAGUGGGUGUAAUGUACCUACUAGCCUACAACGGGUACGGGUUGUGAGAGCAAGAGCCCGGAGAUGGAUUCUGAGACAUGAAUCCAGGCCCUACGGGGCGCAGCAGGCGCGAAAACUUUACAAUGCGGGAAACCGUGAUAAGGGGACACCGAGUGCCAGCAUCAUAUGCUGGCUGUCCAGAUGUGUAAAAUACAUCUGUUAGCAAGGGCCGGGCAAGACCGGUGCCAGCCGCCGCGGUAACACCGGCGGCCCGAGUGGUGAUCGUGAUUAUUGGGUCUAAAGGGUCCGUAGCCGGUUUGGUCAGUCCUCCGGGAAAUCUGAUGGCUCAACCAUUAGGCUUUCGGGGGAUACUGCCAGGCUUGGAACCGGGAGAGGUAAGAGGUACUACAGGGGUAGGAGUGAAAUCUUGUAAUCCCUGUGAGACCACCUGUGGCGAAGGCGUCUUACCAGAACGGGUUCGACGGUGAGGGACGAAAGCUGGGGGCACGAACCGGAUUAGAUACCCGGGUAGUCCCAGCCGUAAACGAUGCUCGCUAGGUGUCAGGCAUGGCGCGACCGUGUCUGGUGCCGCAGGGAAGCCGUGAAGCGAGCCACCUGGGAAGUACGGCCGCAAGGCUGAAACUUAAAGGAAUUGGCGGG